This 493-nucleotide ribosomal RNA is filed under the name uncultured bacterium. Its description in RNAcentral is "partial 16S ribosomal RNA". It matches the Rfam family "Bacterial small subunit ribosomal RNA", at positions 29 to 523 of the family's 1533-position model. The record is from RNAcentral.
AUUGAACGCUGGCGGCAUGCUUUACACAUGCAAGUCGAACGGUAACAGGUUAAGCUGACGAGUGGCGAACGGGUGAGUAAUGCAUCGGAACGUGCCCGGUCGUGGGGGAUAACGCAGCGAAAGCUGCGCUAAUACCGCAUACGAUCUGAGGAUGAAAGCGGGGGACCGUAAGGCCUCGCGCGAUCGGAGCGGCCGAUGUCAGAUUAGGUAGUUGGUGGGGUAAAGGCUCACCAAGCCAACGAUCUGUAGCUGGUCUGAGAGGACGACCAGCCACACUGGGACUGAGACACGGCCCAGGAUCCUACGGGAGGCAGCAGUGGGGAAUUUUGGACAAUGGGCGAAAGCCUGAUCCAGCAAUGCCGCGUGCAGGAAGAAGGCCUUCGGGUUGUAAACUGCUUUUGUACGGAGCGAAAAGGUCUCCUCUAAUACAGGGGGCUCAUGACGGUACCGUAAGAAUAAGCACCGGCUAACUACGUGCCAGCAGCCGCCGUAA